AAACCUCUAUCCAGAAUCCUUAAGAAAAGAAUCUCACCUUAAAGUAAGAGUGCUGAGCGUUUUGGAAUAGACUGCCGUAAACCCUAGGAAUGAUGGUCAGGGUUAGAUCUAGGGUAGUGCAAGUGUAGAUGCCGACACAAGCUGGUGACUUUCAUCUGACAAAAAGUGUUCAAAAUGUUUUGAGGGAUCAAGUGCAGCCAACCCAAGAAUUAAUGGAAUGGGCUGGUUUUCAUUCUCAUAAGAAGAGCAGACAGUUACCUACCAGCAAAAGUGCAGGGAUUGACUGUGGCCAAUCCAAGACAUGAUGAACACAUCCUAUGAAUCAUCUGAGCUGUCUUGAUAGUUCUGGAAAGAAGAAAUUUGGGCAACACAUCAAAAUAAAUUCAUGUUAUGGAUCAUUAGAAAUGAAAGGAGAGACGUUUAUUGGUGAAGGAGAUAUAGAACUCUAUUUUGAACUAGAGUGAAGGAUUUGUGACCUUUUAUUAUGGAUCUGUUACCUGAUUUGAAGGAUCUGUUACCUACAUAUAGUUUGUAAAAAUUGGUGACCUUGUAUGAAGGAACUGUGACCUUGCGAAGGACCUUGGCCUUUUGUGAAGUAUAUCUGUGACUUUAUGAAAAGGUUCUCUUGCCUUGUGUUAAGGAUAUGUAACCUUGUUUGAAGGAUCUGUGACCUUGUGUGAAAGAUCUGUAACCUUAUGUGAAGGAUCUGUGAUUUUACAUGAAGGAUCUUUGACCUUGUGUGAAGGAUCUGUGACGUUAUGUGAAGGAUCUGUGACCUUAUGCGAAGACCUUGUGUGAAGGAUCUGUGACCUUGUGAGAAGGAUAUUGCAUUUCCGGUCUUUGUUCCUUCCUUUCUUUUGUUGAUGUUUUGAAACCAAAAAACGUAUGUGCUAAUAUCACCCCCAGCAGUUAAUUUCUUUGUUACACCAGUUGACGUAUUGACCAGUUUAUAGUUCUAUCAAAUGAAUGCGAUGUCUUGCAUUCAGACUUAGACUUCCAUUAAUUUUUCGUCGGACACGUGUGACUUUUUAUCCAUAUUUUCCCUGGGAAGUUUUUAAUGUCAGUGAUUAUACUCUAGCCUUUGAUGUUUAAUGCUGUUUGGAAAGUUUAUGAUGAGUGCAGUAUAACAAUUUUUUGUGUUAUGUAGUAUUAGCAAAAAUUAAUUGCCCUAACAACAUGUAAACCAUGUUAUGGAAAUGUCUUGUUACUAAGUUUUAGUUAUUUAGGCUACAGCCAGAAUUAUUUCAGAAUAUAUUGCAUAGGCAAACAUUCGAUUAUUAAAGGGUAUUACGGUAUUAAAUGGUCACUUUCUAGUGCAUACUGUCCUGAGAAAAACAAGUUUUUUAAUCAAUAUAAAUUUGUCUAUAUUGCAAAAUCCAUAACUCAUGAAAAUAUUGUUUCAUAAUUAAAUAGAGUGAGGUUCCGCCACUCAAAUUUUUGCUAACUCUGCAUUUUGCCGCGGUUCACAGGUUUCCAUCAUUUUUUGAAAGAUUUUGUUUUUAAUAUAUGGUUUUUCCUGGGCGGCAGAGGAGGCUUAUUUUAUUUUUGGAUGCAUUUUAAUGUGCAUUUUGUUAGGAAUAUGCAAUGUUGUAUGAAAACUGCUUUGUUUGCAUGUUAAUUUCUUUGAAAAAUAAACCUGGCCUAAACCUGCAUAGUGCUUUGUAAUGCAAUUUAAGGGGUUUUAAUAAUCGUAUAUGUAGGCAUAAAGUGUAGUGCAGUGACUGGUCAUCUUAAUUCAUUUUAUGUGUGUUUUGUUUUGACAUUUCAAUUCAUAUACAAUGUAUAAUGCACUACUUAUAAUAAAUGGCAUUUGCUUCCUAAAAUCUUUUCAGAAUCAUUGUAUAACAGUAACCAUUUUCAAACAUUCUUUUCAAAGUACAUGU
Molecule: long non-coding RNA, 1883 nt
Organism: Saccostrea echinata
Lineage: Eukaryota; Metazoa; Mollusca; Bivalvia; Ostreida; Ostreidae
Exons: 4
Source: RefSeq, a predicted model, not a curated record